GACGAACGCUGGCGGCGUGCUUAACACAUGCAAGUCGAACGGAAAGGCCCUGCUUUUGUGGGGUGCUCGAGUGGCGAACGGGUGAGUAACACGUGAGUAACCUGCCCUUGACUUUGGGAUAACUUCAGGGAACUGGGGCUAAUACCGGAUAGGAGCUCCUGCUGCAUGGUGGGGGUUGGAAAGUUUCGGCGGUUGGGGAUGGACUCGCGGCUUAUCAGCUUGUUGGUGGGGUAGUGGCUUACCAAGGCUUUGACGGGUAGCCGGCCUGAGAGGGUGACCGGCCACAUUGGGACUGAGAUACGGACCAGACUCCUACGGGAGGCAGCAGUGGGGAAUAUUGCACAAUGGGCGGAAGCCUGAUGCAGCAACGCCGCGUGCGGGAUGACGGCCUUCGGGUUGUAAACCGCUUUCGCCUGUGACGAAGCGUGAGUGACGGUAAUGGGUAAAGAAGCACCGGCUAACUACGUG
This 468-nucleotide ribosomal RNA is filed under the name uncultured bacterium. RNAcentral describes it as "partial 16S ribosomal RNA". It matches the Rfam family "Bacterial small subunit ribosomal RNA", at positions 28 to 507 of the family's 1533-position model. The record is from RNAcentral.